CCUAACCCGAUCUCAACAAAUUCCCAUUUUUAGAGCUCAUUUGAUACACAAAGGUAGGCAGCCGAUCUGUUUAUUGAUGUCCUGACCAGGCUAUGGAUACCCAUCUUCUCAAAGCCAUCUUCGCCUUAUUUUGGCCUAACCCUAGUGUGUCUCUCUUCACGAGUUAACCACCUAAACCCGAUAGGCAUCUUCUGAAAACCUUCAACGAAGCCAAAGUCGAGGCAUAUCUUCACAUUUCUUCCUCAAAGGUUGAAUUUUUUUAAGGUUUUUGGAAACCGAAGUAGAGCUUCCUCUUGCUGUGGAUUAAUGAAUCACAGAAGGAGAUGGACCACAACUCAAAGGGAGUUUUUAGCAUCUCAUCAUAUACACAAUAUUUCAAUGUGGAUAUCGAUGUUGUCCUGAACAGAUUAAUAAGCUCCUUGCAUCCCAUUGGUGGAGAUUUUUUCAGCAAGAUUGAUGCCAACCCUGAUUUAUAUGGACUUAUCUGGACCUCCACUACAUUGAUAUUUGUGAAUGUUGCCCUUGGAAACUAUGCCACCUACCUGACAAAGAAAUAGAG
Molecule: long non-coding RNA, 559 nt
Organism: Vitis riparia (riverbank grape)
Lineage: Eukaryota; Viridiplantae; Streptophyta; Magnoliopsida; Vitales; Vitaceae
Exons: 3
Source: RefSeq, a predicted model, not a curated record